UACGGGGGGGGCAAGCGUUGUUCGGAAUUACUGGGCGUAAAGGGCUCGUAGGCGGCCAACUAAGUCAGCCGUGAAAUCCCUCGGCUUAACCGGGGAACUGCGUCUGAUACUGGAUGGCUUGAAUCCGGGAGAGGGAUGCGGAAUUCCAGGUGUAGCGGUGAAAUGCGCAGAUAUCAGGAGGAACACCGGUGGCGAAGGCGGUUCUCUGGGCAUUACCUGACGCUGAGGAGCGAAAGUGUGGGGAGCGAACAGG
Molecule: ribosomal RNA, 253 nt
Filed under: uncultured bacterium
Lineage: Bacteria
Description: partial 16S ribosomal RNA
Rfam family: Bacterial small subunit ribosomal RNA
Source: RNAcentral